UCUUUUACUUCUACUGGACUCAGCUUCCCCAGAUGCACAUCAUGAUAAUACCCGCUCUUGUGUCAAGAGUGUGACCUAGAAAUAAUUCAUUUAUUUUCAGAACAGGAUUUAAGAUCCUUCAGAGAAGAAUACGGUCUGAGUUUAACGUAGCUGCUUGGCCUUCCGGCUGCCUCUUCUUGGCUUGUACAUAUUCAAAGAAGACCAAGUUAUAAAGGAAAACACAUCUCUGCUGGAGGAGACAUAGGCACCAUGUCAGGCCCACAGAGGAUAGAUUUAUGGCAACUAGCCCAGCUAUGUGCUCACAAGUCAUGAUACUACAUGAACCAUGUGUAAUUAAUGCCACGACUACAUUCAUUGCCAUAUUUUUAUUACCACAAAACAUAGAGGGGAUGAAGGCGCUGUAUUGAAAUAGCAUAGCCAGAGGCAAGGCAAUUCGGUAGAAUGUGUAAGAAGAACCAAAAGAGGCAAUCUAACAAGAAAUUACUUGACCUCCUGCGUGUUGGUUGCUAUGAAGUCCACAAGAGAAAGGCAUGGCCCUGACCUCUAGGUGGUGAGGUGUCCAAUUCAUGCAAGUGAAAAAGCACUACGAAUAACACAGUGCUGCUCCUACAAAGCCGAACUGAUCCAUGCUAAGUGUUUACAAAGUAUCUGGCUGUUUGCUUCCUGGUAGCAUGACUAUACAGAUUGGCACAUCAGUAAAGGAGCCAGAAGAGACACUGUUCUUGCAGAUUCCUCCUUCUGUGUUACGUGGAAGGGCCCAUAGGACCCAAUGCCUCUCCUCUAAUAAUCCUUUGUCAAGUCUCUCCAUCUCUAUGAAAGCUUCCCAAAGAAAUAAGGCUAACAUUAAUGACUCUUGCGGUAAUUAAUCUCCAGUUAUAAGAAAUACUUACAGGGUACCUACUAAAUGCCAAUACUAUGCUAAGAGUUGAGGAUACAAAGCAAUACAAAACAAACUCUUGCCUUCAAGGGGUAUACACCUAGUUGAGGAGAAAGGCACAUUCUUAGGACAGAUACAUUCUCUACCACCAGCUUUUCAACAAUAAUAUCAGCCCCUUAGGGGCCCAUAGAGAGUAAUUAUUCCCAGGCAAACCUUGGCCUAGGGAUCUUAGCUCCUAACCACAUGCUAACUAACCAUAAUCCCAGAUGAUGCUGAGACAAGACGGAGCAGGAAAAUGAAGAUGGAUAAAUCAAUGUCAGCCAGAACUGUUCCUAGAGGUGCCACGUAACACUCACAUAUCAAGAGACACUUGGAUAUGAUGUAGCCCCUGCCGGACCUAAAAGGAAUGCUCUCAAUAUAUCAAAUUUCAGAGAUUUAGACACUUGCAAGAGAAGUUGUGCAUGCCUGUGACCCAUGGAAAUCCCAGUUCCUUUAUCUUGUCCAGAUGCUACACAUAGCAUUCCCUUGGGAAAACCACCCUACUGGGGCAGGAAAUUUAAAAGUCUAAGGGCAGAAUGGUCACUGGGCCCUAGCCCAGACCCAGCCCAGAAACAGACAAAGCUGUUGCACACAGAGGGCCUCACUCCCUUCCCAUUCUUCAUGCAUUUGGGACAAAGAGAGACUCAUGUGCCAAAUGGCAAGCUGCAGAUAUUAGGUUGGACAGCAGGGCCAUAAAGCUCCCACAGAAGGGGAACAUUAAAGAGGCAGUGUAAAUCCCUUGAUGGCAGCACUAAGUCUCUGUCAACACUGGCAUCAGUUUGUGCAAAACACACGGAGAAUCAAGAUGCUCAUUGUGGUUAUGUUCAGAGCUUCUGUAGAAAAAGAAAGUAAAAGUAAAGUCUAAGAAAUGCCUUUACUCUGAUUACUAUACAUGCUCACCUGGUCUCAACCCAUUUCCCUUCCAUACAAUUCUGUCCUCCAAUCCUUUUCAUUCCAAAUCACCCACUCAUGGUACCUUCUCCCACUCUAUUCCAUUCCCAUCCAUCUCUCCUCUGUCUAUCCUAUAUCCUAUCCUGAUUACAACUGUUUUGUUCAAUUUCAUCCCAUAUUUCACAAUUCAACUCAGCCUGAAACUAUAUAUCCUAACCAAGCUAGCCCAUCUAAUAUACAACAAUAUUUUUAGUAAUCUUCCUGAGCUAGUGUGCUCAUUAUGGAAAAAGAUACAAAUAGGGAGAAAUUGGGACUCCACUUACAUGGACUCCAAAUCUGCCUACCAUGUUCAAAUACCCUAAAUUAUUGAGUAAGGUCAAUAUGUGAAGGAAUUCCAGUGGUUCAAUUCUCAGCCUUCUUAAUUGGACAUUUUUAUCAGCAUAUAAGCCGGAGACAUGGAAAGGGGAAAGAGAAUGGAGCUAAUGUUUGCUAACUACAACCCAACUGCUAUGAACUAGAACUAGUGCAGAAUUUGAUCUUAUCCAAACUAUAACCUUAAAAGAUGUUAUUAUCCCCACUUUAUAAAUAACUGAGAUUCAAAGUUAAAAAAAAAAUCUUUCUCAAGUUACACAGCUAGAAAGUGCUUUUAGAUCCAAUCAGACUGGCCACACAGGACUCAUGAUCUUUCCAGAGCUUCUCUCUUGUGUAGUUGAUGACAUGGCACUAGUGGCACUAGUAGUGAUAGAACUAGCAAUGGCCUAAUCCAAAAUUGUCUCCCCUUGGGUGUGAAUGACAUAAGCAUGGAACAAAUACAGAGGCUGAGAUAUACAGUUUAUGAAAUAGCAACACACAUAUCUAGCUUAUAUGAAAAGCAACAUUGCCCAUCCUAAUCAUCCUAGGUUUCUCUUCCUUCAUGUAUCAUUUCCCUCCUCUAACUUGUAUGUAAGCUUCAAGAAGGAAAGCACUUUGCUUUGUUCACUGGUACAUACCCAGCUCCUAAAGAGUGCCUGGC
Canis lupus familiaris (dog) is the source of this 2819-nucleotide long non-coding RNA. RefSeq lists it as uncharacterized. The transcript has 6 exons. The record is from RefSeq and is a predicted model, not a curated record. Lineage: Eukaryota; Metazoa; Chordata; Mammalia; Carnivora; Canidae.